UACAGAGGUCUCAAGCGUUGUUCGGAUUCAUUGGGCGUAAAGGGUGCGUAGGCGGCGCGGUAAGUCGGGUGUGAAAUCUCGGGGCUCAACCCGGGAAGUGCACUCGAAACUGCGAGGCUAGAGUACUGGAGAGGUUGGUGGAAUUCUCGGUGUAGAGGUGAAAUUCGUAGAUAUCGAGAGGAACACCGGUGGCGAAGGCGGCCAACUGGACAGAUACUGACGCUGAGACACGAAAGCGUGGGGAGCAAACAGG
Molecule: ribosomal RNA, 253 nt
Filed under: uncultured bacterium
Lineage: Bacteria
Description: partial 16S ribosomal RNA
Rfam family: Bacterial small subunit ribosomal RNA
Source: RNAcentral